This 316-nucleotide unclassified non-coding RNA is filed under the name Bursera multifolia. RNAcentral describes it as "partial external transcribed spacer". Lineage: Eukaryota; Viridiplantae; Streptophyta; Magnoliopsida; Sapindales; Burseraceae. The record is from RNAcentral.
UUCGGUGUCCUGUGUUGCUUACCUAUCGAAAGGAAUCCGACGGUUUGGUUGGUCCCUUUCCGCCCCAUGCCCUCGCGGGUUGUGGGGUGGACGUCAGGCAAGCCCCGUGUUCCCGGCACGCUUCGCCCAGUUGCGUGGCUGCCUCGGCCCACGGGGCGCAUUGCCCGUGCUCUCGGAUGCGGAAUGCUGUGCGCGGGCGUGGGGUCUUUUGGCUCCGUCGGCCCGAGCAACGCAUUUGUCAAUCGACACGAACGACUGUCGUGCCCGUCUUGAGCCCCCCGGCCGUAUGGCCCGUCGGGUCUCAUGCGGGCGUCGG